This 389-nucleotide transfer-messenger RNA is filed under the name Candidatus Saccharimonadota bacterium. It matches the Rfam family "transfer-messenger RNA". Rfam says of the family: Bacterial tmRNA, also known as 10Sa RNA or SsrA, is named for its dual tRNA and mRNA-like properties. Its role is to liberate the mRNA from a stalled ribosome. The record is from RNAcentral. Lineage: Bacteria; Candidatus Saccharimonadota. RNAcentral also lists the same sequence under 1 other name.
GGGGUCGAUUUUAUUCGACGUUGGACUUUUACAACUCAUUUGGCAAGCCGGAAUCCUACACGUUAGCUGGGAAAAUUAAUAAUUGCAAAAAGCAAUUUAGUUGCAUCUCUAAAGCAUCUCGGUGCUAACUGGAAUGCAAUGCCAGUAGCUGCUUAACUGCAUCUACGAUCUUCGCAUGUGACAUCAGAUAACAUGCAGGGUCUCAUAUUUAUCUGAUUGCUCGGAAAUCUGCCACCUUAAGAUUUUCGCUAAGACUAUAAGGUUGCGCUAUCGGAAUAUUUUGUCUGUUCUAAGUUCUGAUAGCUAAGCCAAAUUUAAACAGAAUACGCUUGUAGUUCAAUUGAUAAGUAAACCAUCGGACGCGGGUGCAAUACCCGCCGACUCCACCA